This 462-nucleotide ribosomal RNA is filed under the name uncultured low G+C Gram-positive bacterium. Its description in RNAcentral is "bacterial SSU rRNA". It matches the Rfam family "Bacterial small subunit ribosomal RNA", at positions 1075 to 1533 of the family's 1533-position model. The record is from RNAcentral. Lineage: Bacteria; Bacillati; Bacillota.
UUGGGUUAAGUCCCGCAACGAGCGCAACCCUUGAUCUUAGUUGCCAGCAUUCAGUUGGGCACUCUAAGGUGACUGCCGGUGACAAACCGGAGGAAGGUGGGGAUGACGUCAAAUCAUCAUGCCCCUUAUGACCUGGGCUACACACGUGCUACAAUGGACGGUACAAAGGGCUGCAAACCCGCGAGGGGGAGCCAAUCCCAGAAAACCGUUCUCAGUUCGGAUUGCAGGCUGCAACUCGCCUGCAUGAAGCCGGAAUCGCUAGUAAUCGUGGAUCAGCAUGCCACGGUGAAUACGUUCCCGGGCCUUGUACACACCGCCCGUCACACCACGAGAGUUUGUAACACCCGAAGUCGGUGAGGUAACCCUUGUGGAGCCAGCCGCCGAAGGUGGGACAGAUGAUUGGGGUGAAGUCGUAACAAGGUAACCACUUCCUGAGCCAUGAUCAAACUCUAAGCCGAAUUC